CGAACGGGUGAGUAAUACAUCGGAACGUGUCCGCUCGUGGGGGACGAACCAGCCGAAAGGUUGGCUAAUACCGCAUGAGUUCUACGGAAGAAAGAGGGGGACCCGCAAGGGCCUCUCGCGAGCGGAGCGGCCGAUGACUGAUUAGCCGGUUGGUGAGGUAACGGCUCACCAAAGCAACGAUCAGUAGCUGGUCUGAGAGGACGACCAGCCACACUGGGACUGAGACACGGCCCAGACUCCUACGGAAGGCAGCAG
RNAcentral lists this ribosomal RNA (255 nucleotides) under uncultured bacterium. RNAcentral describes it as "partial 16S ribosomal RNA". It matches the Rfam family "Bacterial small subunit ribosomal RNA", at positions 99 to 354 of the family's 1533-position model. The record is from RNAcentral.